AGCGAACGCUGGCGGCGUGCCUAACACAUGCAAGUCGAACGUGAAAAGGGAAACCUGAGUAAAGUGGCGUACGGGUGAGUAACGCGUAGGUAAUCUACCCCAGAAUCUGGAAUAACCUGCCGAAAGGCGGGCUAAUACUGGAUAGAGCGAGGGAACUCGUAAGAGAGUUUUUCGGGAAAGGGAGCCCGCAAGGGCCUUCGUUCUGGGAUGAGCCUGCGUCUCAUUAGCUAGUUGGUAAGGUAACGGCUUACCAAGGCGAUGAUGAGUAGCUGGUCUGAGAGGAUGGUCAGCCACACUGGAACUGAAACACGGUCCAGACUCCUACGGGAGGCAGCAGUAGGGAAUCUUGCGCAAUGGACGAAAGUCUGACGCAGCCACGCCGCGUGAGUGAAGAAGGCCGUCGGGUUGUAAAGCUCUGUCGGAUGGGACGAACAUCUUCAUAGUGAAUAGCUAUGAGGACUGACGGUACCAUCAAAGGAAGCACCGGCUAACUCCGUG
RNAcentral lists this ribosomal RNA (498 nucleotides) under uncultured bacterium. RNAcentral's name for it is "partial 16S ribosomal RNA". It matches the Rfam family "Bacterial small subunit ribosomal RNA", at positions 29 to 507 of the family's 1533-position model. The record is from RNAcentral.